Molecule: RNase P RNA, 418 nt
Filed under: Bacteroidaceae bacterium
Lineage: Bacteria; Pseudomonadati; Bacteroidota; Bacteroidia; Bacteroidales; Bacteroidaceae
Description: RNase P RNA component class A
Rfam family: Bacterial RNase P class A
About the family: Ribonuclease P (RNase P) is a ubiquitous endoribonuclease, found in archaea, bacteria and eukarya as well as chloroplasts and mitochondria.
Source: RNAcentral
CCAGCCGGACGGUCUGCCGCUUGCGUCCCUGCGGCGCAAGAGGAAAGUCCGGGCAGCAAAGGGCGCUCCGCUUCCUAACGGGAAGAAGUCCGCGAGGGCUUGCCAGCGCAGAAGAAAACAACCGCCUCCGUCGCCGCCCACCCGCAAGGGGAAGCGGCGCGAGGCAAGGGUGAGAAGGUGGGGUAAGAGCCCACCAGCCGUAUGGCGACAUACGGGCUGUGCGCCCCGGAGGCUGAAAGUCCGCGUAUACCGGCGCCCACGAGGGCGGCCCGUCCCAGUUCCGAAAGGAACGCGCCGGAGGGUAGGACGAUUGAGACGUGCGGCGACGCACGCCCCAGAUGAAUGGCAGACACCGCCGCGCCAUAGCGCACCGCGCGGACCGGCGGCACAGAACCCGGCUUACAGUCCGGCUGGUUUU